This 254-nucleotide ribosomal RNA is filed under the name uncultured bacterium. RNAcentral describes it as "partial 16S ribosomal RNA". It matches the Rfam family "Bacterial small subunit ribosomal RNA", at positions 524 to 776 of the family's 1533-position model. The record is from RNAcentral.
CACGUAGGGGCCAAGCGUUGUCCGGAUUUAUUGGGCGUAAAGAGCUCGUAGGCGGUUCGACAAGUCGGGUGUGAAAACUCCGGGCUCAACCCGGAGACGCCACCCGAUACUGUCGUGACUGGAGUCCGGUAGGGGAGUGGGGAAUUCCUGGUGUAGCGGUGAAAUGCGCAGAUAUCAGGAGGAACACCGGUGGCGAAGGCGCCACUCUGGGCCGGUACUGACGCUGAGGUGCGAAAGCGUGGGGAGCAAACAGG